Molecule: ribosomal RNA, 480 nt
Filed under: uncultured Glomus
Lineage: Eukaryota; Fungi; Glomeromycota; Glomeromycetes; Glomerales; Glomeraceae
Description: SSU rRNA
Rfam family: Eukaryotic small subunit ribosomal RNA
Source: RNAcentral
AGCAGCCGCGGUAAUUCCAGCUCCAAUAGCGUAUAUUAAAGUUGUUGCAGUUAAAAAGCUCGUAGUUGAAUUUCGGGAUCAAUAUGUUGGUCGUGCCUCGGUACGUACUAGCUUAUUGGUUUCUCCUUUCUGAAGAACCAUGAUGUCAUUUAUUUGGUGUCGUGGGGAAUCAGGACUGUUACUUUGAAAAAUUAGAGUGUUUAAAGCAGGCUCACGCUUGAAUACAUUAGCAUGGAAUAAUGAAAUAGGACGUUUGAUUCUAUUUUGUUGGUUUUCUAGGAUCGACGUAAUGAUUAAUAGGGAUAGUUGGGGGCAUUAGUAUUCAAUUGUCAGAGGUGAAAUUCUUGGAUUUAUUGAAGACUAACUACUGCGAAAGCAUUUGCCAAGGAUGUUUUCAUUAAUCAAGAACGAAAGUUAGGGGAUCGAAGACGAUCAGAUACCGUCGUAGUCUUAACCAUAAACUAUGCCGACUAGGGAUCG